Molecule: transfer RNA, 76 nt
Filed under: Podarcis lilfordi (Lilford's wall lizard)
Lineage: Eukaryota; Metazoa; Chordata; Lepidosauria; Squamata; Lacertidae
Description: tRNA.Val
Source: RNAcentral
GCAUAGCUCAGUUGGUUGGAGCAUGAUGCUGACAAUGCCAAGGUUGCAGGUUCAAUCCCAACAUGGGACAGCUGCA